Molecule: ribosomal RNA, 428 nt
Filed under: uncultured archaeon
Lineage: Archaea
Description: bacterial SSU rRNA
Rfam family: Archaeal small subunit ribosomal RNA
Source: RNAcentral
UACCUGCAGCUCGAGUGGUAACCGCUAUUAUUGGGCCUAAAGCGUCCGUAGCCGGUUUGGUAAAUAUCUGGGUAAAUCGUGAGGCUUAACUUCACGAAUUUCGGAUAGACUGCCAGACUUGGGAUCGGGGGAGGUCAGAGGUACUCCAGGGGUAGCGGUGAAAUGUUGUAAUCCUUGGAGGACCACCGGUAGCGAAGGCGUCUGACUAGAACGAGUCCGACGGUGGGGGACGAAGCCCUGGGGCGCAAACCGGAUUAGAUACCCGGGUAGUCCAGGGUGUAAACAAUGUGGGCUUUGUAUUGGAGGUCCCACGUGGGCAUCCAGUGCAGGAGAGAAGUUGUUAAGCCCACCGCCUGGGAAGUACGGUCGCAAAGCUGAAACUUAAAGGAAUUGGCGGGGAGCACAGCAACGGGAGGAGCGUGCGGUUU